RNAcentral lists this ribosomal RNA (527 nucleotides) under Selenops bursarius. Its description in RNAcentral is "partial 16S ribosomal RNA". The stretch from base 98 to 394 matches the Rfam family "Bacterial large subunit ribosomal RNA", at positions 2074 to 2646 of the family's 2925-position model. The record is from RNAcentral. Lineage: Eukaryota; Metazoa; Arthropoda; Arachnida; Araneae; Selenopidae.
UUUAAAUGAAGACUAGAACAAAAGAUUAAACGUUUCAAUUUAUAUCCUAUUUAAUUCCCUUUAAAUUAUCCUAAAUGUAAAAAGACAUUUAUUUAAAAGAAAGACGACAAGACCCUAUUGAACUUAACUUAAGUUUAACUGGGGUAGUUAAUUAAUUAUUAUUUUAAUUAAUAAAAUUAUACAAAUAAUCCAAUAAUAUUGAAAUAAUCAAGUUACCAUAGGGAUAACAGCGUAAUAAUUUUCUUAAGUUCUUAUAACAACAAUAGUUUACGACCUCGAUGUUGAAUUAAUAACCUAUUUAGAGCAAAAACUAACCAAGGAAGUCUGUUCGACUUUUAAAUAAUUACAUGAUUUGAGUUCAGACCGGUAUAAGCCAGGUCGGUUUCUAUCUUCUUAUUACUUCUUACAGUACGAAAGGGCCUAAGAAAAUAAUUUAAUUAUUUAAUUGGCAGAAAAAUGCAUUAGAAUUAGAAUCUAAAUAAACUAACAUCUUAUUUACCCUUUCAUAUUUGAUUAUUUCUAUUAGC